Molecule: long non-coding RNA, 217 nt
Filed under: Homo sapiens (human)
Lineage: Eukaryota; Metazoa; Chordata; Mammalia; Primates; Hominidae
Description: LHRI_LNC979.1
Source: RNAcentral
CUUUAAUCCAUCUUGAAUUGAUUUUUGUAUAAGGUGUAAGGAAGGGAUCCAGUUUCAGCUUUCUACAUAUGGCUAGCCAGUUUUCCCAGCACCAUUUAUUAAAUAGGGAAUCCUUUCCCCAUUGCUUGUUUUUCUCAGUUUUGUCAAAGAUCAGAUAGUUGUAGAUAUGUGGCGUUAUUUCUGAGGGCUCUGUUCUGUUCCAUUGAUCUAUAUCUCU